Molecule: long non-coding RNA, 1704 nt
Organism: Gallus gallus (chicken)
Lineage: Eukaryota; Metazoa; Chordata; Aves; Galliformes; Phasianidae
Source: Ensembl
CAACUAUCUAACUUGCCCAGACGUCCUCCAUUCCUCCCACGUCAGAGCCUGCCUGCUCCUUUCCUGAAACAUCCAUCACACUCCAGACUUUGCCUUGCAGCCAUCAGACAUACCAACUCUGGCCUCCCCACUGCAAAACCCAACUUGGAUACAGGGAGGAAGCAUUGCUGCCUGGCAUGUUUCUACCAUUCCUGAGGACAUCCUGGGGCAGAAAGUGGCACUUGAAUGCCAGAAGGCCUGCAUACCUCUGCUAGUCCAGGCUCCAGCACCUCUCUGCUGCCCAGAAGAUAUCAGCAUCUUGGGACUGAUGGGGAAAUUCACUGUUCACUGCUUUAAUGGAACUUUCUGAUAUGGCAUUAUAUCCAUUUGGUUGAUUUUCUCCUCUGCAGCUGAUAUUAGUUUUAUACAAAGAUUAUGGAGUGAGUGUUCCUAGACUGGAAGACAUGGGAUUACUCUGUACUUGGGUUUGUUUGAUCCUCAUUAAUUCCUUUCCCCAAAAACAGUGACAUCCUAAAGAAGAACUACUGCAAAUGUCUCAUUCUCUGCACAGGGGCAUAACUUCCCAGUGAGUUUGUUUUCUGCUUGCUAGCACUUACUAAUGCCUAAAAACAACUUCUGCAAGAGGAAAGCACGAGGCAGCAACUCUUUGCCCAUGCAAUUACAGUGAUUGUCUACACAAAUCAAGUGUUUUUGUAUGCAAAUGGCCAGUAAGCAUCUAGUGGAUGCAAUGGCUUGAAUUUCAAUUUGCAGUGAAUAGUCACAUAUGCAAACACGUGUUAAAAUGUGUAUAUAUUAAUAUCUUACAAUCAUCAACCUCCUUUUCAAAUAUUAUUUGGCUCACGUCAUUUAAAAACUCUUCAGUGUGCCAUAUGUAACCUCUUACAAGUGAAUAGUGAUUCUUCUAAAAGUAAUGAUGACUGUUAACUCCCAGUCACUGCAAUGCUUCCAGAUACGGUAGGAAGUACAUUCCCAAUAAUUAGUAAUUAGCAGUAACUAUUUUAUGGAGCAGAAAAGAGUUGAUUACAGUUGUUUUAUCAGAUGGUAUAAUAAUAGAAAAAAAUCUUGUUUCAGAGAAAGGAGGAAAAGGGGUGAUUUCACAAAGUUGGCUCUCACUUGCCAGCCGUCCAUCACUGAAACUACAGCUUCAGGGAUCAGGAAUUAUUGAUUUCAAAGGGAUUAACUCUCAGCUACAGAUAGUUCAGUUUCAGGGCAUCAUUUGUAAGCUGAGCUGUAGCCAUAAACCAGCUGGCACUGGGGGCCUGAUCCAAAACUCACUCAAAUGACUCGGACAGCAAUUUCAGGGGGAUCUUUGGGUUAAUAAGUCCCCAGCUGGGAGGGCAGCUUGAGAGAAGUCUCCGUUCUCAGAGCAUCUGGCACAAGGGAGAGGCCCAUUUAAAGACAAUUUCUUCAAGGCACAAGAAAAGUGGUUUCUGAAAUGAGGAAGGGGCUUGUUUCAUCAAAGUGAGCUACGUGCACCCAGCUCACGUUAAUUCCUUCACAGCCUCUACUGCCUUUUGAGCUGGCAGAGGAAGAAGAGCAGGUAAACAUCAGGUCUGCUCACACCAGGCUCUCCCUUCUAACGCUUACUGAGUUAAUUAAUUUUUGCUCAAUUUGAUUUGACAUUCAGAUCUGUAAUAUGUUUAUCCUUCUAAUGGGCACUUCUCCCUUUUCCUCGCUGCCUCUCAAAGAUUUAAUAAAUGACGG